Molecule: long non-coding RNA, 829 nt
Filed under: Olea europaea subsp. europaea
Lineage: Eukaryota; Viridiplantae; Streptophyta; Magnoliopsida; Lamiales; Oleaceae
Source: RNAcentral
CACCUUUUUUUUAUUUUUUUUAUUUUAAUAAAUUAGGCAACCCCAAUCAAUGAAAAUGAAAUCAUCUUUCCCCAAUUUUCCCAAUUCCUUUCCGUCAAAGUUCAACCUGACAGCAGAGAGAACUCAGAGAAGAGCAUCAAACCUUUCUUGAGUUCUUUUCUUGAAUUCCUUCCCGUCAAACCGGUCACCUGAGUUCACUAAUUGAGUUAGUAGUGACGUGUAUGGUGAACGUGAACCCACUGGUGCGAAGUGGUAUUACCAUUUUUUACCUUCUUCGUUGUUGAUUAUAUACUCACCAUAUGAAAUUUACUGUCUGGACCGAGUAGACCUGGAAGGGUACAAAUUGCUUCCUGUCAUAUUAUCGCAAUAAUUUUCAUUGGAUUUUGAUUCCUAUUUCUCAUGGAUCUGGCUGUGAGUGGAUUCCCCGUCUUAACCUUUUUUUAAAUAUAUCACUCGCAAGUCUUUAAAUUCGAUUCAUUCUCUAUUAAUUCUUAAAUCGGUGGAAGUUCUAUUCUGUGGGCCUGUGGCAUAUUCUGCAACAUCUUUUCAAUUUCGAUUUGCUAUUAUGAAGUUUUGAGACAAACUCGAUAUGACUUAUAAGUUAAGGUGGGGAAAAGAUUGGAUCACUUUUGGUUUCAAACUUUCAGUAUGAAUGAAAUUCCCUUUUCAAUAUGAGUUCACUGAUUGGCUGUAUUUUGAUGCAAACUAUGAAAUUAUGUCAUAAUACUCAAGUUAUUUUAUUUAGAAGUAAAAGAUAAAAGUUUGGUGUAAACGCGUGCUUGUAACCUCGGGAAUUCACGUUUAUAACUCUCAACUUGAAAGAUUCAAA